UUGUGUCUUCGAGUCGUUGAUUUCACACUGCCGAGAAAAGCCUCUAGAUAGAAAAUAGGUGCCCGUACCGCAAACCGACACAGGUAGUCAAGAUGAGAAUUCUAAGGUGAGCGAGCGAACUCUCGUUAAGGAACUCGGCAAAAUGACCCCGUAACUUCGGGAGAAGGGGUGCUCUUUAGGGUUAACGCCCAGAAGAGCCGCAGUGAAUAGGCCCAAGCGACUGUUUAUCAAAAACACAGGUCUCUGCUAAACCGUAAGGUGAUGUAUAGGGGCUGACGCCUGCCCGGUGCUGGAAGGUUAAGAGGAGUGGUUAGCUUCUGCGAAGCUACGAAUCGAAGCCCCAGUAAACGGCGGCCGUAACUAUAACGGUCCUAAGGUAGCGAAAUUCCUUGUCGGGUAAGUUCCGACCCGCACGAAAGGCGUAACGAUUUGGGCACUGUCUCAACGAGAGACUCGGUGAAAUCAUAGUACCUGUGAAGAUGCAGGUUACCCGCGACAGGACGGAA
Molecule: ribosomal RNA, 506 nt
Filed under: Staphylococcus aureus
Lineage: Bacteria; Bacillati; Bacillota; Bacilli; Caryophanales; Staphylococcaceae
Description: partial 23S ribosomal RNA
Rfam family: Bacterial large subunit ribosomal RNA
Source: RNAcentral